RNAcentral lists this ribosomal RNA (253 nucleotides) under uncultured bacterium. Its description in RNAcentral is "partial 16S ribosomal RNA". It matches the Rfam family "Bacterial small subunit ribosomal RNA", at positions 524 to 776 of the family's 1533-position model. The record is from RNAcentral.
UACGAAGGGGGCUAGCGUUGCUCGGAAUCACUGGGCGUAAAGGGUGCGUAGGCGGGUCUUUAAGUCAGGGGUGAAAUCCUGGAGCUCAACUCCAGAACUGCCUUUGAUACUGAGGAUCUUGAGUACGGGAGAGGUGAGUGGAACUGCGAGUGUAGAGGUGAAAUUCGUAGAUAUUCGCAAGAACACCAGUGGCGAAGGCGGCUCACUGGCCCGUAACUGACGCUCAUGCACGACAGCGUGGGGAUCAAACAGG